RNAcentral lists this long non-coding RNA (675 nucleotides) under Podarcis lilfordi (Lilford's wall lizard). The record is from RNAcentral. Lineage: Eukaryota; Metazoa; Chordata; Lepidosauria; Squamata; Lacertidae.
CAGCUCCGGCAGCAGAGAAAGGAGGGAGGUCAGAGCAAGCCGCCCUCCCGGAAGGGGAGGGGAGCAGUGAAGGGAGUAGUGUAACUGUCAAAAGGAAAGUUAGAGGUUUGGCGCGCGCGCCAAGUUCAAAUGUAGAGGCGCGCGGAAGUACAGGGAGCCCGGAGGAGGGGCCAGGUCCCAAAGCCCGCAGGAGGGGGGAAGAGCAGUCUGAUUCCGCGUCAGAGGAAUCCAGGAGGGGCGAAACCCCAGCGGGCAGAAGGACCCUGCGGAAAAGGAAGGAGAGAAAGAGGUGGAGCAGCGCAAGCCUCUUAAAUUGGUGUAGGGGAGGGACGGAUUCAGAGGGGACUUCAGCGGUCUAAGCGUAGCAGACGUAAGGCUGCGCGCCUAGGAUGUCAAGCAAACAAUGAACUGCAAUAAACACUUUUGUAUAUAAGAAGACAUAGGCGUUGGUCUUUUGUGAGCUGAGACUUGAGGCAGCCUUGACAGUAAGUCCCCUCUCACAAAACCGCAAAAUUUUUUUUUUUUGCAAAGCUCACGAAGUUUGGCAGAGAUGACUACUGAGGAGCAGAUAGCGUCCCUGCAAAACGCAGUCACCGAGCUCUCCACUGCGGUAGUGGUCUCUCAGAAGACGGUUGCCGAAGCAGAAGCGCGAUGCCAGGAUCUGCAAGCCAGGUG